RNAcentral lists this non-coding RNA (21 nucleotides) under Arabidopsis thaliana (thale cress). Lineage: Eukaryota; Viridiplantae; Streptophyta; Magnoliopsida; Brassicales; Brassicaceae. The record is from RNAcentral.
AUGUGGAAAGUAUAAGUGAGA